Molecule: ribosomal RNA, 254 nt
Filed under: uncultured bacterium
Lineage: Bacteria
Description: partial 16S ribosomal RNA
Rfam family: Bacterial small subunit ribosomal RNA
Source: RNAcentral
UACGUAGGGGGCAAGCGUUGUCCGGAUUUAUUGGGCGUAAAGAGCUCGUAGGUGGUUCGGUAAGUCGGAUGUGAAAUCUCCAGGCUCAACCUGGAGGGGUCAUUCGAUACUGCCGUGACUAGAGGUCGGUAGGGGAGUGUGGAAUUCCUGGUGGAGCGGUGAAAUGCGCAGAUAUCAGGAGGAACACCAGUGGCGAAGGCGAGUCUCUGGGAUGAUGCUGACGCUGAGGCGCGAAAGCCAGGGGAGCAAACGGG